RNAcentral lists this transfer RNA (124 nucleotides) under Penicillium paxilli ATCC 26601. Its description in RNAcentral is "tRNA-Und (NNN) (tRNA-Und-NNN-9-1)". Lineage: Eukaryota; Fungi; Ascomycota; Eurotiomycetes; Eurotiales; Aspergillaceae. The record is from RNAcentral.
GCCCAGGACAGUGUAGUGGUUUAUCACGACAGUAAUUGAAUGCUGCCUGGGCCUGGUCUACCCAGGCAUCAACCAGGCAGUAUUCGGUUACACGGAGACCUGGGUUCGACUCCCAGUCCUGGCC